UAAUUUUUUUCUUAAAGGACUUAAUUAGCUCAGGGGACCUUCAGGCCCUUGACAUAGCUUCCUGCUGACUUCAGUACAAAAAGCUGGUGAAUGGGAAGUCACUAGUUCCUCCCUCAGGCUUCUAACCAGAAGAGCAACAUGGUCACCACAGAGACAGCUGCAUGGGCUACAGAGGUGGAGAGGAUGAGUGAGCAGCAAAGAUGGGAAAAGCGGCAACUCGAACAGUCAACAACCUAUUUUCCUAGGAGAAAUUAUGAUUCAGAAAGAAAGAAAGGCGACCAAGAUGUUAUACAGAGGAUUAAUCCACCAGUCAAGGACUAUACUAAUUAACCUCUAACAUCCCUUACACCUUUAAAGCUGUAUGAUUCUAUGAGAUGAAACUUCCUAUGGAUUUGAGCCCACUAUGGUCAGAUUGGUGGGAAAAGAGAUAAGAAAUCUGAACUAAUGUUGUAGUUUAUACCUUCCAUACCUCACAAUGCUGCUCUAGGUAACCUCUAAAAAGAGAAAAGGAAAAUUGGCAAUUUCUGGUUGAAUCUGCCAAUUCAGAGGCUGAUGGGUUUUGCCUCUAGUUAUCAACUCUGUACCCAAACUUCAAACAAACUGAGGGAAAAUCAACCUUUAGGUUGGCAUAUUUGAGCUGAGGAUGAGGAAGAACGUCUUAACGUUUCCAGCUUUGCAACAACAGAACAGACUGGCUCCAUGGAUGUGUUCAAGCAGGGGGAGAAGUCACUAUUUCCUCCUGCAGGCUUCUGAUCAGAAGACCAACAUGUUCAACACAGAGACAGGGAAGCUACAUCUUAUAACAAUGCCUUAGAAGGGGCUUCUACAUUGGGAGAGAGGUUACAGUAGAUGACUUCUGACAAUCCUUUUAGCUCUGCCAUUUUAUGUUUUAUGCUCUAAUUAUCUACAAUCUAAUGUUCCCUUCCAACUUUAACAUUUUAAGUUCUAUUUUCUAGCAUUCUGGGUUCUAAAGUCCCUUUCAGUUAUAGCUUUAUUUGUUCAAAGGUCUUCUCUAGUAUUAGCAUUCUGUGACUUCCCUGGGCAAAUUAGGGACAGAUUCUGGGGGACCUCUUCUUUGGCCUUGGGGUAAGAAAAGGAUUCAAGGAUUCCCCGUCAUCUUGCACUGCUGAAAAGUCCAUUCUCCUAUCAGCUUGGACUAAAGACACAUGCACCCCUACAGUGGAUUCAACAGAGUUAAAAAUCCUUGAAUCACGAUAACCUGUAGUUACGAAUAAAUACCUUUUCAGUUUUUGAAGGAGCAUAACAUUAAAUUUUAAAAGAAAAUAAUAUACUCACCCAAUUAGUUUUCUGAAAUCUCAUUAAAAAAUUUAGCCUGA
Vombatus ursinus (common wombat) is the source of this 1337-nucleotide long non-coding RNA. RefSeq lists it as uncharacterized. The transcript is spliced from 2 exons. The record is from RefSeq and is a predicted model, not a curated record. Lineage: Eukaryota; Metazoa; Chordata; Mammalia; Diprotodontia; Vombatidae.